Molecule: ribosomal RNA, 329 nt
Filed under: uncultured eukaryote
Lineage: Eukaryota
Description: partial 18S ribosomal RNA
Rfam family: Eukaryotic small subunit ribosomal RNA
Source: RNAcentral
CCCUUAGAUGUUCUGGGCCGCACGCGCGCUACACUGACGGAGGCAGCGAGCGUGUCCUUCGCCGGCAGGUGCGGGCAAUCUUGCGAGUCUCCGUCGCGCUGGGGAUAGAUGGUUGCAAUUGUCGAUCUUGAACGAGGAAUUCCUAGUAAGCGCGAGUCAUCAGCUCGCGCUGAUUACGUCCCUGCCCUUUGUACACACCGCCCGUCGCUACUACAGAGUGCCCGUGUCCAAGAAACGGUCGGACCUGUGCGGCCUCUCCGGGCGACCGGAGGGCCGUUACGGGGAAGACCCUUUAUUUGACGCGGGUCGAUGAAGUAAAAGUCGUAACA